Molecule: long non-coding RNA, 1092 nt
Filed under: Canis lupus familiaris (dog)
Lineage: Eukaryota; Metazoa; Chordata; Mammalia; Carnivora; Canidae
Description: lncRNA (ENSCAFG00030020810.1)
Source: RNAcentral
AUGGGUUCACCCCAGACACAGGCUCCCCACAGACACGGGCCCCCCGAGGACACGGGCUCCCACGGACACGGGCUCGCCUCUCCCGACUGUCCUGCCGGCCCCGGGCUCCGAGAAUGCCCAGCCACAGCCGCAGCAGUCGCGCCUCGAGAGCAGAGCCACCGGGGGGGACCGAGGGGGCCGCGGGGGAACCCGCUGGGGAGGCGGCUCCCUGGGCUCGUCCAUGCGGCUCAGGGGCCAGCUUCUCCCCUUCCUUCUGAGAGAAGCAGGACGCAUGGACUUUCCGCGGAGGGUCCCCUGCGUGACCGUGGUGCACGUGUGAGCAGGUCAGGCCCUCUGGCCUCCUGGCUGUGGGAGCGCGGCCGUUCCUUCCAGAACGCAGGGCUGGUGCCUCUGUCUGGGGAGCCGUCCUGGAGCCUCCCCGCGGCCGCGCACACCCCCCCCCCCCGCGCUGCCCCCUCGGUGCCAGGCGCCUCCAGGGUCGAGACCUCUGUCCCGCGUGCAGCCUGGAGCCCGAGGGCAGACGGCCACACGUCGGGUGUAACCGGAUCACCGGCUCCGUUGGCGGAGCGCGUGGUCGCCUGGGGCCGAGGAGCCGUGGCCUGGGGCCAGCAGGCCCUGCAGGUGACCGGAUGGUGGCACUCGCCGUGGGCCGCACAGUCGGGCCCCACAGGUCCGCGGGCCAUCGUGACCCCCUGCUUCCCGGUCUGGUGGAGAAGCGGGGCUUCCAGGCAAAUAUGCACCCCACGUCCCAAGCCGCGGCCGACGGAGACCGUGCCCAGCCCGGUGCGUGCAACAGGGACACGUGCUCCCCCUUCCCCCCACGCUCAUCAGGCCACAACUGGGAGGGCUCGCUCUAGGUGUGCACGGCGGCCCUUCGGCACACGUAGGUGCUGCGAGAUGCUGACCAAGGUGACGUCAGCUCCCGCCUCCCGCCUCGAGCGGCCACCUCCGUGGGGUCGUAAGAACGGGUCCCGGCCGUGGGCAGCCUACGUGGGGGCCAUACGGCAGCGUCGAGGGCCGUCACCGUGGCCCCACCGUGGCUCCUGCGACCCCCGCCAGCUCAGCUCCUCUCCUCCUUUCACACAGAGGUGA